This 276-nucleotide ribosomal RNA is filed under the name Triticum aestivum (bread wheat). RNAcentral's name for it is "partial small subunit ribosomal RNA". Lineage: Eukaryota; Viridiplantae; Streptophyta; Magnoliopsida; Poales; Poaceae. The record is from RNAcentral.
AUGGCGGGUGCGGCGAAGGCGUCAUGGACGGUGGCGAUGAGCGUGGGCGCCGUGGAGGCGCUCAAGGACCAGGCCGGGCUCUGCCGCUGGAACUACGCGCUCAAGUCCAUCCACAGGACCGCCAAGGCCAGAGUAAAUGUCCACGGUGGCGCCUCACAGAGCACGAAGCAGCUUCCGGCGUCUGCUGCAGCGGUGGCGGAGAGGCGGCGAGCGGAGAAGGCCGAGGAGGGGCUGAGGACCGUCAUGUACCUCGGUUGCUGGGGUCCCAAUUGUUAG